Molecule: ribosomal RNA, 264 nt
Filed under: uncultured bacterium
Lineage: Bacteria
Description: partial 16S ribosomal RNA
Rfam family: Bacterial small subunit ribosomal RNA
Source: RNAcentral
GGCGACCGGCGCACGGGUGAGUAACACGUAUCCAACCUGCCGAUGACUCGGGGAUAGCCUUUCGAAAGAAAGAUUAAUACCCGAUGGCAUAGUUCUUCCGCAUGGUAGAACUAUUAAAGAAUUUCGGUCAUCGAUGGGGAUGCGUUCCAUUAGGUUGUUGGCGGGGUAACGGCCCACCAAGCCUUCGAUGGAUAGGGGUUCUGAGAGGAAGGUCCCCCACAUUGGAACUGAGACACGGUCCAAACUCCUACGGGAGGCAGCAUG